Molecule: ribosomal RNA, 372 nt
Filed under: uncultured organism
Description: partial 16S ribosomal RNA
Rfam family: Bacterial small subunit ribosomal RNA
Source: RNAcentral
GAAGGGUGCAAGCGUUACUCGGAAUUACUGGGCGUAAAGCGUGCGUAGGUGGUCGUUUAAGUCCGUUGUGAAAGCCCUGGGCUCAACCUGGGAACUGCAGUGGAUACUGGGCGACUAGAGUGUGGUAGAGGGUAGCGGAAUUCCUGGUGUAGCAGUGAAAUGCGUAGAGAUCAGGAGGAACAUCCAUGGCGAAGGCAGCUACCUGGACCAACACUGACACUGAGGCACGAAAGCGUGGGGGAGCAAACAGGAUUAGAUACCCUGGUAGUCCACGCCCUAAACGAUGCGAACUGGAUGUUGGGUGCAAUUUGGCACGCAGUAUCGAAGCUAACGCGUUAAGUUCGCCGCCUGGGGAGUACGGUCGCAAGACUG